Bombus impatiens (common eastern bumble bee) is the source of this 561-nucleotide long non-coding RNA. RefSeq lists it as uncharacterized. The record is from RefSeq and is a predicted model, not a curated record. The transcript is spliced from 3 exons. NCBI's taxonomy places the organism in Eukaryota, Metazoa, Arthropoda, Insecta, Hymenoptera, Apidae.
CAUCACGAUUACAUUUCGAGGUGAAGAUCGUGUGUGGUUCCUUCGGAAAGGUCUUGUAGAAUGUUGUACAGAAGGUUAAUAGCGGAUUCGAUUGUGAAAGCAUUUUGUCAAUAUUUACACCAAUAAAUAGCAAUAGUCGCUUAAGCACAGUAGAACUCCUAACCUCAAUUUAUUAGGAGGAGAAUUAAGCGAUUCAUAUAUUAGGUUGGCAACUAAGUGAUUGCGGCUUUUGUCGUUACUACCUAACGACAAAACCCGCAAUCACUUAGUUUGCUAAUCCAAUAUACUUUGAACUCCUACCGUCUUGCAGAACAAGUGCAAAAGUUUUUCUCUUUUUUAUUAUUUAAUAUGCACUUUACAAUUUGUGAAAUGCAAAAUUGUUCUCUGAUAAAAAUGAAGGAAGAGAAAUGAAGCAGCGGCGUACUUACAGACAAUUGUAAAGGAGGGAAUCGACGAUUUUGACAGUGAAACAUGUGGCACCGUUCAAGCAGUACCAUUCCGCAUAAUCCGGUGGACACGUGUACAUGUGGAAUGUGAUGUUCGGUCGAGGCGUCGGCGUCG